This is a transfer RNA of Malassezia globosa CBS 7966, 88 nucleotides long. It matches the Rfam family "tRNA". Rfam says of the family: Transfer RNA (tRNA) molecules are approximately 80 nucleotides in length. Their secondary structure includes four short double-helical elements and three loops (D, anti-codon, and T loops). The record is from Rfam. NCBI's taxonomy places the organism in Eukaryota, Fungi, Basidiomycota, Malasseziomycetes, Malasseziales, Malasseziaceae.
GGCCGUAUGGUCUAGUAGUAUGAUUCUCGCUUUGGGAGAAUCGCGCCUUAAUUGCGAGAGGUCCUGGGUUCAAUUCCCAGUGCGGCCC